Saccostrea cuccullata (small rock oyster) is the source of this 2922-nucleotide long non-coding RNA. RefSeq lists it as uncharacterized. The record is from RefSeq and is a predicted model, not a curated record. Lineage: Eukaryota; Metazoa; Mollusca; Bivalvia; Ostreida; Ostreidae. The transcript has 5 exons.
UAUUGCUUAGGGAGACCACGGAAGAUAUAUUAUCUGGCUUAGGGAGACCGCUGGAUUAAGGCGACCUUUUUUGGUCUCCCUAAUAUUUUGACCUCAUGAGUAUUGCAAAUGUCGUGUUUUUGGUAAAUUAACAGUCUUCCAUUAGAUAAAAGUGAUGUUUUUGUCUGCGUUUUAACAUUAAAAAGUUGUCAAAUUUCUAUCAUAUUACCUGAAAAAGAAAAGAAUGUAUUACCUGUGUAUAAUUUCAAAGGAUAUUUUUUCAGCAUUGUGGAGACCACGGAAAACGUGCAAUUUAACAAAAAAUCUUGCAUAUAUAAUUUUUUCCGCGUUAAAUUAUUUUAAAUGAGUGUUUCUUCGACUUAUUUUUCCAUUUUUUAUGUUAAAAAACUAAAGAGGAAAAAUAUUCUAAAUUUAUGCAUCAAGUUCUGAAUUCUUAGCAAGUGCUUUCCGUCAUUUGUUCCGAAUACCAUCGGAAUGCCUCUUCAGUUUUCAGAAAAUGACCUUUCAACACCGUAAUUGUUGAGAAAGAGUUGUAUUGCGGUAAGUAACUUAAAUAAUAUAGUAAUUUUUUUUUAAAUACACAAGGCAAGCAUUGAUUUUUUUGGGAGGGGGGGGGAGGGGGGGGGAGGGGGGGUGUAGUAAUUUUACUUUGAAGAAGGAAAGAUUAUAAAUACGUAUUUGAAACUGAAGGAAAUUCGAAAUAAAGUUGAUAUCGGUAUAUUCUUUUACACAAGUCCACAAACAAAAUUUAAAGACAAAGCCGAAUAUAGAAAAAAGCAUCGCAAGCUGAAGCACCUAUUCAAGCUAUAUGCUUGUGUCCCCUCAGAAAUAACGUUUACCUCUUAGUCUUAUGAUCAUUUCUUUCUUUUGCCUUAUGAUCUUUUUUCAUUUGCUUAUCACCAAUUUUUUGUUGGUAGCCUCGCCCAACCUGAAUCUGAUAGGGUGUUUUGGUUGUACAACCCCCCCCCCUUUUUUCAAUUACCUUACCCCUACACUGUACAUGAAAACUUCAAGGUGUUGGAAAUUCAUUUUUUUCAUAACAUUAUUUAUUUUGUAUUUCUAUUAAUCAACAAUUCAUUGUCGCAGUCUAUAACCUGUAGUUCCCUGCAUUAUUUUCAGCAAUAUUCGGUGACAGAAAUAAAACAAUCAUUUGAGAUUUAACCCCCCCCCCCCCCCCCAUCCCCAAACAAAUGAAACUGAAAAAUUUUUGGUUGUGUUAACCCCACUUUUAACUGAAAUAUUAAUUUUUUUUAUAUUAUUUAAUUUCGUUUAUAUUUUUAUAAGUUUAUUUCGUAUUUUUCCUUUUAAAAUUAAGUCAACAAAUAUGUGCAUGAGUUAAUAAACUAGCCUGGUUCCCUGCAUUUUCAGUGACAGACUCAGAGAACCAGAAUAUUUCAGACAACGAGGAGGCUCAAAACAGUAUUGAGAUCAGGCUCAUCAAACUGCACGUGACAUUUAGUGCGUCUAGACUCUGAUGUCACAUUACGUCUUAUAAAUUUGAACUUUUGCUGCUAUUCUUGCAAGAACGUAGCUUUAACAAGUGAUGCAUUGUGGGUCCAAGUUACGGCGUCAAAAAAUUCUAUCGAAUGAAUGUGCAGUCGUCCAAAUUUUCUCUUCGCACAGAGGGUCUGUGCUAGAAUUUGUUGGACCCCAGUGUAACACUUUUAUGGACAGAGAGGAAAUCUUAUCUCAAGGGUCAACAUGUCUUUAUUCCAAGAAAGGGGUAUAUGCCAGAAUCUUUUGAAGAACAGUCAGAAUCUAACAUGGAAAAAUGAGGAAAAACAGCCUUCCUGCUAAUCUAUAUUCUGACAAAGGGUAAUUUUGUUUUUAAUUCAGUUAGAAGUACACAUAUAAUUAUGCUCGCAUCCCUUUCAAAGAAGGGAGGGCAUAUUGCUUUGCUGCUUUCUGUCAGUCGGUUUGGUGGUCCACCUUUAGUUUUGCUUCAAUUUCUUCACAGAGGUUGCACAUAUUGAAUUUAAGUGUGGUACUAGUGUAUAUUGUUUGUUUAUAAGCAUGGGUGUAUUCAUGUGCAUAGGAAUCAUCAUAUCCAUCUUUCUGUUCAUGUGUUUGCCCACUUGUAGUCAGGGGCAUAACUCAAACAAGUUAUAAAAAAGAUAACUUAAAUAAGUUAUUUUACACACACAAAUUAAAAAAAAACAACUUAAAUUAGUUAUUUGUAUAUCCUACUUGGAGAUUGAUUUCUUGGAAAUUUUGUGUUUCCUGCCAAUAUGCAUUGCAUUUUGGGAUUCCAUUAUGUAAUACUAGAUGGAGUGCACCGACUACAAUGAAGAAUUGGUGAGGAGAUGGAGAAAAACCACAUUUACACCUUAUUUUGUGGUUUUAUCCACAUGGUGAAAACAUAUCUAAUUUUUAUUAUUAAAUAAAAAAAUUCCCCACUUUUCCCAAGACUUUGAACACUUUUCCUGCAUUGAGUUAUUUUAGAAAAAUAAUGUGUUUGAUUUACUAAGGCAAGGAGAAAGUACAGACCCUUAACUGUGCUACUACACCUCAGAAACGAACCGUACCGUGAACAAAGCAUACCAUUCCGUGCACAAAGUGAACCGGUCCGUUCACAACGCAUACCGUACCGCCCACAAAGCGAACCGUUCCGUUCACAAUGCGUACCUAGCUGUUCUUUGGUUAAUUAUGCAAACCAUGCCCCCAAUUAUUUUUGAAUCGUGUAAUGACCAAAUAAGUCAUUCAGGUUUAUUUCUUGCUACGGCGCCUGUGAAAGGAGGACGGAGAUUGUGUCUGCCUGUUCGAAACACCAUUAUCAAGUAUCAAGGGUCUGGGCCCUCAACUUUAAAAAUAAGGAAACUACUCGAAGCAAACUACAACUUCAAAACAACUAGACAGAGUGUGAGACAAUUCCUUAUUUGCUAUAAAUUAGAUCAACUGGUUGUGUUUGUGGUCAAAGGUACA